GACGAACGCUGGCGGCGUGCUUAACACAUGCCAGUCGAACGGUGAAGCUCCAGCUUGCUGGAGUGGAUCAGUGGCGAACGGGUGAGUAACACGUGAGCAACCUGCCCCUGACUCUGGAAUAAGCGCUGGAAACGGCGGCUAAUACUGGAUACGAGAAGGGUCCGCAUGGGCACUUUCUGGAAAGUUUUUCGGUUGGGGAUGGGCUCGCUGCCUAUCAGCUUGUUGGUGAGGUAAUGGCUCACCAAGGCGACGACGGGUAGCCGGCCUGAGAGGGCGACCGGCCACACUGGGACUGAGACACGGCCCAGACUCCUACGGGAGGCAGCAGUGGGGAAUAUUGCACAAUGGGCGAAAGCCUGAUGCAGCGACGCCGCGUGAGGGAUGACGGCCUUCGGGUUGUAAACCUCUUUCAGCAGGGAAGAAGCGAAAGUGACGGUACCUGCAGAAGAAGCACCGGCUAACUACGUG
This 468-nucleotide ribosomal RNA is filed under the name uncultured bacterium. Its description in RNAcentral is "partial 16S ribosomal RNA". It matches the Rfam family "Bacterial small subunit ribosomal RNA", at positions 28 to 507 of the family's 1533-position model. The record is from RNAcentral.